This 497-nucleotide ribosomal RNA is filed under the name uncultured bacterium. RNAcentral's name for it is "partial 16S ribosomal RNA". It matches the Rfam family "Bacterial small subunit ribosomal RNA", at positions 28 to 507 of the family's 1533-position model. The record is from RNAcentral.
GACGAACGCUGGCGGCGUGCCUAAUACAUGCCAGUUGAGCGCUGAAGGUUGGUACUUGUACCAACUGGAUGAGCAGCGAACGGGUGAGUAACGCGUGGGGAAUCUGCCUUUGAGCGGGGGACAACAUUUGGAAACGAAUGCUAAUACCGCAUAAAAACUUUAAACACAAGUUUUAAGUUUGAAAGAUGCAAUUGCAUCACUCAAAGAUGAUCCCGCGUUGUAUUAGCUAGUUGGUGAGGUAAAGGCUCACCAAGGCGAUGAUACAUAGCCGACCUGAGAGGGUGAUCGGCCACAUUGGGACUGAGACACGGCCCAAACUCCUACGGGAGGCAGCAGUAGGGAAUCUUCGGCAAUGGACGAAAGUCUGACCGAGCAACGCCGCGUGAGUGAAGAAGGUUUUCGGAUCGUAAAACUCUGUUGGUAGAGAAGAACGUUGGUGAGAGUGGAAAGCUCAUCAAGUGACGGUAACUACCCAGAAAGGGACGGCUAACUACGUG